This 94-nucleotide signal recognition particle RNA is filed under the name Syntrophobacter fumaroxidans MPOB. RNAcentral's name for it is "SRP RNA; RNA component of signal recognition particle". It matches the Rfam family "Bacterial small signal recognition particle RNA". Rfam says of the family: The signal recognition particle (SRP) is a universally conserved ribonucleoprotein involved in the co-translational targeting of proteins to membranes. Archaeal SRP consists of a 7S RNA and homologues of the eukaryotic SRP19 and SRP54 proteins. Lineage: Bacteria; Pseudomonadati; Thermodesulfobacteriota; Syntrophobacteria; Syntrophobacterales; Syntrophobacteraceae. The record is from RNAcentral.
GAUUGGACACCUCGCAACAGACGAAUACGAACCCCGUCAGGUCCGGAAGGAAGCAGCGGUAAGUAUCACCGGCUGUGUCGUGGUCUACUCUAAU